RNAcentral lists this unclassified non-coding RNA (253 nucleotides) under uncultured Cytophagales bacterium. Its description in RNAcentral is "contains 16S-23S intergenic spacer region". It matches the Rfam family "Bacterial small subunit ribosomal RNA", at positions 524 to 776 of the family's 1533-position model. Lineage: Bacteria; Pseudomonadati; Bacteroidota; Sphingobacteriia; Sphingobacteriales. The record is from RNAcentral.
UACGGAGGGUGCAAGCGUUGUCCGGAUUUAUUGGGUUUAAAGGGUGCGUAGGCGGGCAGAUAAGUCAGAGGUGAAAUCCCACGGCUCAACCGUGGAACUGCCUUUGAUACUGUUUGUCUAGAGUGUCGUAAAGGUAAGCGGAAUUUAUGGUGUAGCGGUGAAAUGCAUAGAUACCAUAAAGAACACCGAUAGCGUAGGCAGCUUACUAGGCGACAACUGACGCUGAUGCACGAAAGCAUGGGGAGCGAACAGG